RNAcentral lists this small nuclear RNA (104 nucleotides) under Chinchilla lanigera (long-tailed chinchilla). The record is from RNAcentral. Lineage: Eukaryota; Metazoa; Chordata; Mammalia; Rodentia; Chinchillidae.
GGGCUCACUUAGGCAUCAUGUAUACUAAGUCUGAAAUGAUACAGACAGAAGCAUGGACCCUAUACAAGGAUGAAAUAAAAAUUCAUGCUGUAUUCCACAUUUUG